This 22616-nucleotide long non-coding RNA is filed under the name Equus caballus (horse). Its description in RNAcentral is "lncRNA (ENSECAG00000056352.1)". The record is from RNAcentral. Lineage: Eukaryota; Metazoa; Chordata; Mammalia; Perissodactyla; Equidae.
GUCUAACAGUCACAAUGAAUCCUUCACACAUGACCAAGCUAUUCUUUGUUUCUCAUCGUCUCCUACAGCGUUUAUCCUAAGGUUCUUCCAUGUGUAUAAUUUCCCAGAAAAUUUAGUACUUAAUAUUCUGAUGGUUUCCACUACAUGUUUUGUCUCCCUACUGAGACAGUAAGUGAUUCAAGGGCAAAGUCUUUGCCUUACACCAUUUUUUAAUCUUCCAAUGCUGAGCCCACACAAGGUGCUAAAUAAAUAGAGCAGUAGUUCUUCAUGUGGGGCGGAGGUGAGGGAUCACAUCAGAAUCACAUAGGGAGCUUUGAAAAAUCGAGGCACACACAGAAAGACCCAUAUAAUUCUUAAGGUAUCAGAUUUUAAAUUUUUAUUCAUAUUAUUUAUAUUUCCAAUGGUAAUUUUGGCAUGCCUUUUCAAGAUCUAGUAUCUUAAAUAUAGGAACUUGGCAUAUAAAGGCAGCUCCACAAAACCAAUAGGUAAGUGAUGGAUUAUUUUGUAGCAAAUAAUAGGAAUACUGGCUCACUUAUUUGGAGGGGGAAAAAGCUGAAUCCCUCAAUUAAAUCAUGUAGAUUCAUUUAUUUAACUGAAUUCCACACCAUAUGCCAAGCACUCUUCUAGAUUUUGAGGAAACAAGACUGAGCAAAAGAGACAGUGAGGUGCUGGUCUCAUGAAGCUUUCAUCUUAGUGGGGUUCUAUGGACAAUUAACUUUCACAUACACAUAUAUAUGUGUAUUUAUAUAUAUAUAUAUAUAUAUAUAUAUAUACACACACACACACACACACAUACAUAUUAUUUCAGUUUUCCCUAGUGAGAAUGCUAUAAAGAAAAUGAAAGCAAGAUAAGGGAAUGCGGGGAAUGUUCUUUUAGAUAGGGAAAGCCUAUCUGAGAAGGUGACACCUGGGCAGAAAUUUUAACAAAAGGCAGAAGUGGGGCAUGAAGCAAUCUGAGAAAAGGGCAUUCUGGGUGAAGGAGGACAUUCUGGGUGGAGGAAACAAGUGACUGUAAAAGUCUUCAGGCAGAAAGGAGCUUGCUUGGCUCUUUGAGGAACAACACAAAGGCCAGGGCUUGGAACAGAAUGAGUGAGUGGGAGUGUAUUAGGAGAGUGGUGGGGGAGGGAUGUGUCUUUGUCCUUGAUGGUUGAGAGUGGAAGUUGGAGAGUGAGCUGGAGAAAGGUGAGGGACUAACAAAAUCCAGAAAUGGAGACAGAGACUUCUCCAGAUGUGUGAGUGGCACAUCUAACCCAUCAUAGGAAGGCCACUAGACUCCAUUAGCAGAUGUUAAUUCUCAUGCCUCAGACUUGAAGCUGAGUGAUAUGACUAAUGGUAUUGAGCAGGGUGUGGUGAGUGCUGCUAAGCAUGGAGAGAUCUUGGUGGCUGUCUUUGGGCUGCUGUAACAAAAUACCACAGAUUAGGUGGCUUAUAAACAACAGAAAUUUAGUUCUCACAGCUCUAGAGGCUAGAAGUCUGAGAUCAGUGUGCCAAUGGUCUGGUGAGGCCCCCUUCCAGGUUGCAGACUUUUCAUUAUAUCCUCACAUGGAAGCAUGGGCUAGGGAGCUCUGUGGGGUCUUUUAGAAUAGCACUAAUCCUAUUCAUGGGGCUACACUCUCAUGAUCUAAUCACCUCCCAAAGAUCCCGCCUACUAAUUUUGUCAUCUUUGGGGAUUAGGGUUUCAACCUAUGAAUUUUAGGGAACACAAACAUUCAUACCAUAGCAGUGUUCAAAAUAGAUAAGCGAAAAAUAGUUCCUCACAGUGGGCACUGUGUAAGCUGAUGUGUCUUGGGAAAACAACUCUGGGUAUGGCAGAGAUUGGCUUAUAUGAGGACCAGAGUGUUUCCCAGGACACUCUCUGCACAGGAGUAUGGAUCAUCUUCCCCUUGGUGAAAGUUCCACUGGGGUAGAGUGUGGAAUAAUGGGGUUCUGAAAACCCCUCACCGCUUUUAUUCCUGCCUCUUUCUUGGAAGUGUUUCUUUCAGUACAAUUAAGUGUGAAAAUUAUGCUUGGAUUGGCAUCCCAUAUAGGCAAGAUUUUAAAGACUUGAGAGACCUAAGCCUACUUAGAUGCUAUAGGUCUACUCCCACACUUGUAGGAAUAGGCUCAUUCAAUUGUAGAUUAUAGGUGCUGGUAAGUCUGAAAUUUGUAGGGUGGGCUAGUGGGCUGGAAGUUCAGGUGAGAAAUGAUGUUGCUGUCUUUUGUCCUAAUUUUCCAGGCAACAUGCUGGAAACUCAGGCAGGGUUUCUAUGUUUCAGUCUUUUUUUAAAAAAAAUUUUAUUUAUCUGUUUGUCUGUCUAUCUGUCAUCUAUUUAUCUAUCUAUUUCUCUGUGUCUUUAACAUUUAUACUCAUUUUUCCAGCUUUACUGAGGUAUAAUUGAAAAACAUUGUAUAUAUUUAAAGUAUACAAUGCGAUGAUUUGAUAUAUGUAUAUGCUGUGAAAUGAUUAUCAUAAUCCAGUUAAUUAAUACAUCCAUCAUCUCAAUGGUUACCUUUUUUUUCCCCCCUGUGGUAAGAAUGCUUGAGAUCUACUUACUCAGCAAAUUUCAAGUAUACAGUGCAGUCUAUGUUGUGGUCUUGAGGAGAAUUCCUUCUACUUAGGGAACUUCAGUCUUUGCCUGUAAGGCCUUCACUGGUUAGAUGAGGCCCAUCCACAUUAUGGAGGGUAAGCUGAUGAUUUACUUAAAGUUUACUGAUUUUCCCAAUUAUUUACUUGUUAUUUACUCAUUUACUCAUUCACUGGUUUACUGAUUUUCUUAUUCAAAGUCUAUAUCUAAGAAAUGCCUUUACAGAAGUAUCUAGACUGGUGUUUGACCAAACUACUGGGCACCAUAGCUUAGCCAAGUUGAUACAUAAAGUUAACCAUUACAGAGCACUAAACUGCCUUAUAUAUUAAAAUGAACUAGGUCUUCCUUGGGUAUAGAGAUGGUUCUUUGGAUGUGCAGUAUUAAGAAAGUAGUUCAGACCAUCAUCUCUGGUGUCGGACUCCUAGGUUUUGAAUCUUACCUUUACCACUUAACCAGUUAGCUAAACCUUGGAUAAUUUACUUAAUAUAUUUGUGCUUUAGCUACCCCAUCUAUAAAAUAUGAAUAUAAUAUUAUUCAUCUCAGUAGGCUAUUAGGAGUAUUAAAUGAAUUAAUGCAGAUAAAGGGCCUAAAACAGUGUCACAUUGAAGUGAUCAGUAAAUGUGAGCUAUAGUUAUGAACAUAAUUAUCAUUAUUAGAUGGUUUUAGGGACAAGGACUGGGGGCCCAGGAAUUAGGCAAAGACAAAUCAGUGGAAGGAAAUCUGAUAUGAGCAAGGGUAGACCUCAGCAACAGGGCCAGGACUCAGGAGAGAAAGGGUUAGUGAAGGUACGGAAUGGGUUAUAGCUAGUCCAUUUUAGGAAUGUUUAGGUUUUCUUUUUCAGUACUAUAAUUUCUUAUGAUAUCUCUUCAAGUGUUCAGGAAAGUCGGUUAAAUCCUACAAUCUAGUGUCAGUCAUGGUUUGCAGUUGCCUUGGGGACUAGCAGCAACCACAUGUUUGUGUUCGCAAGGAAGUGGUGUGGUAGGAAAACAAAAUAGGGACUCUGAUUAUUUUAUGUGAAUAUUAAAGGAAAGAAUGACUCUGGAAUUGGAACAUUCGGGGACAUUUCCGUUAUAUACACAUAAGCCAUUGCUUUCCAUCUGAUAUCUUGUGCACCAAGCAAGCUCACUGCUCACUGUGUGCAUUGUUGGCCUAUUUCUGUCUCUUGCUUUGUGUAGAUGAAAACAUUCCCUUUGGAUAGUUUUACUUAGAACAUAGAUAGGCAUAAUGAUAGAAGUAAAGAGGGGGACAGAUUAAAAGCAGGUGCUUGGAAUGCUAUCUUGAAGCUCUGGUCAGGCUAAAGUUGGUAGAGACAAGUGGUUCUAAAAAGUGGCCAAAUGACCUUGAGCACAUAGUGAUGAGGCCCUGGAGCAAAGUGGGUAAACUUUAAUUACUUUCCUUAAUUUCCCACCCAACCCUGGGGAAUUCCAGGCUCAGCCUUAGCACUGGGAAAGGCCAAAUUGACAUUGGUCAGACUUGAGCACCUUGCAAACAGCUAUCACAAGCCAAGUCACUGGUGCCUGGCAAGGAAAUUAGCAUUUAUCGCAUUUCAGUAAAAAUGAUGUGGCCCAGUUAAAUUAGAUUUCCUUUCAUUUACAAUAGACUUAAAAUCUUAUUUAGCUAUAAUCCAGCCAUUGUAAAAUUGGUUACAAGGAUCCUAAUUUUCUGAGAUAUUGAAGCCUCCCUAUUCUAUCAGAGCAUCUUGAUUUUAUCCAUUUUCAUCCAUCGUUAAAUUUCUUAUGGCUGAGAAUGCCAGAGGCGACCUACCUUUCCAAUUCGCUGCUGCAUUCAGCAGUAACUGGAUUGAGAUCAGAAACAUUUAUUUUAUUCAAUGCCUUAUCUGCUCUUUUCCAUUAUUUUAAACACUACUGAGGGUCAAACUGAAAAUCCUUCUCUGAUUCUAACUGUAAUCAAGCAGGAAAUGGUUUUAUUUUAUAUUAAACUAAUAUCAAGCCUAGGAAGACAGCAUCAUUUCAUAUAGUGGAAUUGACUGGCCCAUUCUGCCAUUGCUGAAAAUUUACAGUUUGCAUAUCUUAGCACAAAACCUAUGCUUAUGUGACAUUUUACUUAAAAUUCUCCAAGCCUUCUUUGUACUCAAAUUGAUGUCUCUCUCAUUUGGGAGCCAGCUCAGGGUUUGCCACCUUUAGGAACCUACAGUUGCAGGUGCUCUCUCUCCUUCAUGUGAAUUCCUGCUGCUCUGAAAGUCUGUGUUACCUGUCCAGUCUAUUCAUCCACAGUAUGAUGUCCUUAGCUUACUUCUGUGUGUCUUGCCUCCCCAUCCAAGUAGGGCACUUGUGAAGCCUGAAACUAUGGCUCAAAUGGCUCCUUGUGCAUGCAGUGGUCUGGCUUUUCUGGGUUCCUGACAUUAGGAUCCUUAAAAUGUUAGUUAGAUAAUCCUAUGAGAAGCUUGUUGCUCCCUCCUUCCCUCCAGUUUUCUCUGGGCCUUAGUAACUUCCAGGGAGAUGUCAGUAGGCUCAAUAGUGCAAGGUGUGAGGUACUGUGUGAUCUGGGAGGCGGGGAUGGGGUGGAGGGGGAACAGCUGUGUCUCAUAGGCCAUGCUGGGCUCACUGGUUUCCCAGCCACUGCAGCUUCCUUCUGUGUAGAGCAGGGGUUGACUCUGCCGUGAUUACUCACUGUUCCUCCUCCCUGCCCACCCUGCAUGGUGACCGCUUAAGGCUUUCCCCUGGGGCCAUCUGCAAAGAGAUGGGAAGGGUAGGAUUGGAGCAUUUUGGGUGAACUUGGCUUGCUCUUGUUCAUAGCUGGAGACAGGGCAGCAGGCAGUGUUCACGAUCCUGACCUUGGUGGUCGAUACUCUCACAUGACCUGGGGAGCUGGCAUACACCAAAGUAUGAUGCCACCAAUAGCUGCGCAUCACUGAGGCAAGGCUAACUGAAUACAUGCUUUGAGUCCUGCUCUGUUGGAGGUGCUAGGGUUGAGAGUACAGAAACUUGUCCAAUAUGAACCCUGCAUUUGAGUUGCUGAACUCUCUACCUGGAAGGACUGAAACUGAGCCCAGUGCCAGGCCACAUAUCUCCUGGGUCCCAAAAUUCAAAGAAGAGAAAAUCUCUGUGGUCUGUAGUGGGAUAGGGAGAUGGACACAGGAGCAUCAGAGAAAAUGGAACUUUAUCUGUUUAUUAUUCAGUAAACCUAAUGAACCUCCCAUCAGCCAGAAUAUACAAAACUGAAAAUGUUCUUUCCUUGAGGGAGAGGAAGCAAGGGACAGUAACAAUGUGGUGUGGCACGAGUUGUGCUGUGGAUGUCACGAGAGCUGUGUGAGCCCCAGGCAGCUGCAGUUCGUCAGCCAAGACUUCCUGGAGCUGAAGAAGCAGAGGGCAUGAAAAAGACUGAGAAAAUGCCUUGCUUUUUCAAACUUAUUAAGAAGAAUAUCAGCCAGAGUGCCAACAGAAAGAACUGUUCAUUGUUCCAGAAAGUUUGGGUCAAGUGUUUUGUCUCUUUUUAAAACUUUGUUUCCCAUAGUCAAAUAGCCUAUUAUGAUGACUUUAUAAAGAAAGGAUCUUCUGGGUCUCUCUCUGGCCUUGGUCACAUUUUAUCGCAGAAAAUACACUGAAGGAGAAGUUAGGAGCCUAGACUGCUCCCAGUUUCUUCCCCAAUUACGUGGGAGCUGGGCAGCUAUGGUUGCAGCCCUGUGCCAGGUGUCCCCUUCAGGCAGGGCCCAUACCUCCUUCCUUCCUUUCCAUGUGUCUGUCCUACUAGAUGGCACAUAGGGUAUGGAAUGAGCUAGGAAGAGGGAGCCAUCCGCUGGAGACAGUCCUGACCUGGCCUGGGAUCUGGGCCCCCCUUUUUUGUUGUCCUUGUCUACUGACGAGCUCCUGGGUCCUGCUCAGGAAGACUUGUCAUUUCACAUUCCAUCAAUAAGCAGCCCCAUUCUCCAACAUUAGCUAAUAAUGUUGUGUCAGCAGGAUUAACAUCAGACGGCAGAGAGAGUGGUCUCAAGAUAGCUUUAUUGCUCUAGCUACCCUUGGAGUUUGUCUACAAGAGGAACACUAGGAUUCUGAAUGCAUUGAAUGUGGGGCCUCCUUCUGAGUAAUCCAACAGGACUGGAAGGGAGGCCCUCAGAGAGGAUCAGGGCUCUAUCUGGCCUAGCCAUUCAAACUCUUCUCUCUUCUACGUUCCCUAUUCUUAUAGGAGUUGGCUCCCUAAGCUCUGAAGGGCAGGGGCAACCUGGCCAGGAAGCUGUGGUAUAGCUGAGGAAAGUGACAGUGUAUUUCUUCUUCAGUGGCAGUAUGACUGAGGCAACUCCCUCUGCAUUAGUUGUGUGGGCCAGAGGCACUGUUACUAAUCGGUCAGCAUAGGGUGAGCAGCCCUCUUGCUCCUAGCCUACCAUAGAACUGCCUGCUGAGAAGGGGUCUGGGGAAGCCAUAGUGAACCACUAAGGAUAAGGGAGCUCACAGUCAGACUCAAGGGAGAAUUUCUCCCCUUUUGGUCCAAGCUUUCCUCCCUUGACUUCUUGCCACUGAGGUUUACUGAAACUCGGAUAUGCCAUUCUGAAGAUAGGCCAUUAAAGAUAAGGUAAGAUUUGAAGUCAUGGGCCAAGGACUCUUGAGUUUGUUCUCCCAGGGACACUGAAAGCUUAGUUCUGCACAAAGCUCUUGCCUAAUUUUCACUGUAGCCCUCUUGCAGUUUUCAUGGCGGUAAUUUACAAAUGGUAGAACUGAAACCCUAGAAUUGGAAUUAACCACUUGGACGUUAACAGAAGACCUUGGGUCCAACACGAUGACCUCUGUCUCAUUUAUCUGUAUAUUUCUGCCACCUGUCAGGCCAUGUGCUAUGUAACCUUGAGAAAAUUAUCUUAUCUAUUAGAACCUUAUAUGUAAAGUGGGGUGAUCAAUGCCAAUCUCACAGGGUCUGCAGAAGAGUAUAUCAGAAUAGAGUAUUUUGCCUGGUGCCUCUUAAAAUGGCAGUUAUUAUUGUAAGACUUUUAUCUUGAAGACUAAGUGACUAUAGCUACUCCUGAGGGCCAGGAUACCACAGCCUUUGAGGGUAGUGGUAGAGGGUGGGUAAGGAGGCCUGGCACCAUGCUAUUUGACCCUAUUAUUCUACUCUUUCUGGUUGACAGACUUGCUUCAGAGAUGAUUCAGCUUAGUCCAGCACCAAGGCUGCUGGGAUUCUGGAUUGUAUUCUACUGGGGCUUGCAACAAAGUCAGGGAGACACAAUGAAGGAUGUUUCCCUUUGUGUAUACAGCUGCUUCCUGGUUACAGUGGGCCAUUGUUGUGCUAAGCCACACUGGAAGGGAAGUGUAACUGAUUGGCCAAUUGAUUGUGUCUCAUGUUCUGGCCUCAGAGGUCCUGCUCUGUCAAGGUCUUCUGAGGUUUUGGGAAGUUGUCUCAAACAGUAGUUAUUACUGAUAGUAGAUGGAUUGUUGAUCUUAACUCUUUUCUCCUUCCCUGUAAUGGAAUAAUACCUUCAUGAGAUUUGCCAUGUGACUUUGGUAUACCUCCCAUUAGAGUAGGAGUCUAUGUCCCAUUGAUGUUGAGCAUGGCUUUAACCAAUAGGAUGUUAGUAUAUAUGAUGUGAGCAGAGACUUUGAAUGUGCUAGGGUUGUUUGGCCUGGCCUUUUGUGUUUCUGCUAUCUGCCAUGGAAUAACAUGCUCUGGAUAGCUCCUGGUCCACAAAGAAUUAUGAGAUACAUACAUACCUGAACUCUAUGCUUAGUCCAGAUCCAAGCCUAAUGGAGCCCAAUUGAGAUCAGCUGAAUUCCAGCCUACUCACAGACCGAUGAAGGAGAAAAAUGAAUGUUUGUUCUCAUAAGCCAAUGAGAUUUGGGGAUUGUUUGUUAUGUAGCAUUGUUUUGAAUAGCUGACUAAUGCACUGACACAUGGAUCCUCUAGUAAAGAAAGGAUCAGCAGCAGAAUGCAGAUUAGCUGAUGUAAUCCUCUUGGAGAGGGACUGAGAAUUUUCAGAACUAGAAUGCUCAAUUAUCUUUUCCCCUUGAGGAGACUAUAGUGAGCACUGGUUGGGCAUGGUUUUUCCCCUUUCUGCUUCCAGUACCCAACUUAAUGCCCUGCUCAGAGUAGAGAGUUGAUAAAUUGAAUGGAAUGAAUUGAAACAUAGCCAGGUUAGGGAGGGUUUAUUUCUGAAAAUAAGGCUUUCUGUAGGAGCAUCCAAGAUGAAAAUCAGAGAAGAGGCCAUGAUAAGGGCGGGCCUAGCCCACCCAGGGCAAGGCCAACUCCAAGAGAAAUUUUAGAAAUGCCCUGAGCCUUUGAACAACAUUGAUAGCUUCUGUUCUUUGAGAGUUGCUAGACAAUACACUUAGAAACGUAUCAUUUUCUGUCUCAGUCUGGACUGCUGUAGUAGAAUAUCAUAAACAGAGUAGUUUAAACAACAGGAAUUUAUUUCUUACAGUUCUGGAGGCUGGAGAGUCCGAGAUCAGGAUGCCAGCAAGGUCGAGUUCUGGUGAGAAUUCUCUUCCUGGUUUGCAUAUGUACAUCUUCUCGGUGUCCACAUGGGUAAGAGCAGAGAGAAAGGAAGCAAGCUCUUUCCUGUCUCUUCUUAUAAGGCUCCACCCGCAUGACCUAAUUACCUCUCAAAGGCCCCACCUGCAGAUACUAUCACAUGGGAGAUUAGAGUUUCAACAUUUGAAUUUUGAGGGGACACAAACCUUCAGUCUCUAGCAUUUUCUCUUCUAUUUUUUUUUUUUUUGAGGAAGAUUAGCCCUGAGCUAGCUACUGCCAGUCCUCCUCUUUUUUGGUGAGGAAGCCUGGCCCUGAGCUAACAUCCGUGCCCAUCUUCCUCCACUUUAUAUGUAGGACGCUUGCCACAGCAUGGCUUGCCAAGUGGUGCCAUGUCAGCACCCGGGAUUCGAACUGGCGAGCUUCAGGCCACCGAGAAGUGGAACGUGGGAACUUAACUGCUAUGCCACCAGGCCGGCCCCUUCUCUUCUAGAAACAACUCUUGACUAUGCAAUUAAAUGACCUCCCCCCUCCUUCUUCUGUGCUCUGUCCCCACUUCCCCCUCCCCGCAAAAAUAUCAGGUACCAACAAAGACUGGUUGUCAGCUGAUCCACACUAACCUGAUUUCAUAUAGAUGUGAGAAAUAAGGCUUCUCAGAGAUACUUGUAUUUUUAAAACGAAUUCUAGGAGUCGCAAAAGACUUCUCUAAGCAAAGAGAUGAAUUACCAGUAACAGACUGUCAAAAACUGUGUCCGGCUAUCAGGCUUUUUGGGUGGGAAAGUUCUGUGUGUUCCCGCUACCUCUUUACCCUGAUCCCUCUAUAUAGAUUCCCUAAAUCCUUUUGUAUUAGGGUGAGACCUGCUCAUCUGCUUCUAUGGCUCCUUUUCCUCUGUGUUUGGAAUGACACAGGGAGGCAGACAAUGAAUUGUAAAAACUGUUUCUAUUUAAAAUUUAAAAUUGCUGAGGGGUCUCAGGGCACACAUGUUUUUAAGAGUGCCUGGUUGUGCUGACAUCUGGUGUUGCAAGGUAAGGUGAUGCCUGGGGACUUCUUUAGGAGGUGGGACUGUGGAGACUGCUUCCUGCCACUUCAUCAAGCAGCCAGUCCUGAGGUCUGGAUGGACAUCAUCCCAUCCCCUUCCUCUGGCCGGCCCCUUGGAAGGACUGGACUUUUAGGUUAUUGUUUCCAGGUAAAGGCCAACUGGAAUUAACGAAGGACCAGCAUUUAAAAACAACUGUGUUACUUUCCAUUAGUGCAGGAAAGCAGCAGAAGAGUGGGAACAUUAGAUGGCAAGAGCCUAAGAUUUGGAGUCUGAGGGCUGGAAGCUCAGUGUUCUCAUCUGGGAAUCAUAGGAAAUAAAAGCUUGUCUCACAGGGUUGUUGUGAGGAUCAAGUGAGAUACAGUAUGUGAAAGCCCUCUGAGGGACAGAAUUCUGUAUAAAUAUUAGUUGUUAAUGGAGUUAUUACAGAGAUUAAUAUAAUGUAUUAAGGCUGAUGAAGUUUACUUCACCUUCCUUCCGCCAGAUGGAGUGUCAUGAAGCAAAGUAGUAGUCAAGCAGAAAUGCUCUGGUACCGGACAGCCUGAUCCUAAUCCCAGCUGCAUCGUCUACUUUCUCUCUGUGGUGGUGAUCAGAUUUAAGUGAGUCGAUACCUAAAAUGAAUACCUGAGUUUUAAUACAAAAAAGUAUUUAAACAGUGCAUGGCAGACAGUAAUCUUUCAAGAGAUGCCAACUAUUUUUUUAACUUAUUACUUUGAAAUAACCAUAAAUUUGCAGGAAGUUGCAAAGAAAUGUAUAGGGAGGUCUUGUGUGCUCUUCACCCAGUCUCCCCCAAAGCUGACAACUUGCAAAACCCAGGUUCAGUAUCAAUACCAGGAUAUUGACGUUGGUACAAUCUACAGAGCUGGUUCAGAUUUUACCAGUUUCACCUGGACCCGUUUCUGUGUGUGUAGGUCCAUGCAUAUCCUUAUGUGACCACCACCACAGUCAAGAUACAGAACUAUACAAUCACCAUAAGGCUCUCUCUCACCACCCCUUUAUAGCUACACCAGACAACCGUUUUUAAUUCGUUGAGUAGUCAUGAAACAAUUCUCAGUAGAAGUAUAUUUUUAUAGUAAGAAAUGCCUGACACUAAAUUUGUGAAAUUGUAAGCUUCCUGUCUUUGAAAGCAUUCUUUUUUUAAAGAUUUUGUUUUUCCUUUUUCUCCCCAAAGCCCCCCGGUACAUAGCUGUAUAUUUUUAGUUGUGGGUCCAUGUGGGACGCCGCCUCAGCAUGGCUUGAGUGGUGCCAUGUCCGCGCCCAGGAUCGGUACUGGCAAAACCCUGGGCUGCUGAAGCAGAGCUCAUGAACCCAACCACUCAGCCACAGGGCCGGCCCCCUGAAAGCAUUCUAAUAGAAGCUGUUCUUUAUCAGGGAUUCUUUAAAGUGGUAAUAAUAGGAGAGGGAGGGGGAUGGGGGAAAUUGAACUCUGAGGUCCCAACUCUAAGCUUCUAGAAUUAUACAGGGACGUACCCUAAAGGAGAUGAGGUUUCAAAUGCACCUUGAGGAACAGGAAGGCAAAGGGGAGAGGGGAGAAUAUACCAGCUGACAAGAUUUCAACCCAAGGCAGGAGACUCACAAUGCCGUCAUAAAGUACAUGUGGAGGAGAGCUGAGAGAAAUUUUCUUCUUACAGCGGUAACCAAAGCCAACAAAUUAUAUUGAGAUCAGAAAUAAAUACAUCCUCUAGGAAAAAAAGAUCUUUGUCUCUGGGUGGACCAGCUGUGUGGUCAAAGCUGAAGAUGAUAUCAUGACAUCAUGGGUAACAAGCUGAAGCCAUUUCUCAUGCCCCAAACAAGGCUACACAAAGUGCUACCAGGAGACUUCACCUGACCAUCCUCAAAUUUCUGGAACCUUCUAGCUAUUGGGAAAGGCCUGGAAGAGGACAGUCUCAUGUGGCAGCCCUUAGCCUACUUGAAUGAAAUCUGACAAAUAUUGUAAAAAUACAGUCCAUUUAAAAACUUCAGUGGAUCUUCGUUUUGUUUCAGCAUAAUGGAUUGAAUCAAAUACAAGUUAUUUGCAGUGAACUUUCAUAAUAUAGGUAUUAUAUUAAUUUAGUAAAAAAAUUAGCCAUUUUCUUUACAUUUGUUUUGGGAGGGGAAUAGUAGUAAAGGGUGUUAAUAUUUAUUGAACCCUUAGAUGUGCACAGUAUAUUACACGUUAUCUUAUUUAAUCCUCAGGGUCACCCUGAAAGGAAGGUUAUUAUUAUCAUCAUUUUACAGAUAAGGAAACUGCGGUACAGAAGAGUUUAAGUGGCAUGCCUAACUCCAUGUAACUCAUCAGUGAGGAAGCCAAGAUUCAUAUCUGGGUCUCUUUCAGUAUAAAGCAGGUGCUGCUUCACCUACACUCUGCUACCUUCCAUAUAAGCCUCAACGUGAGCUCUGGCUUUAUUAGGUUGGCAAGCAUAGACUACAGACAUUUCUCUAAGAAGUCAUUUGGUUGCUCCUGGGUUCAGAGAUAUCCUAAAAGUAACUGAAACAAGGGAAGUUUUACUCCAUCAUUACACAUUCCUGGGCAGGAGAUCCUGUUUCUGGCCCUUACUUAGAACAACAAGUUGAAUUUGCAGUCAGACUAGUGAUAUUGUCAAAAUUUUUCAAACACAAAAACCUAUGACUGAUUGUAUACACUUGGGAUCGAAAUUACAUUGCUCUUUCAAAGAGCAGCCUACAAUGGCCUACCAAGAGGCCAAGCCAGUUCUGGGGGCUGUUGGCUAGAGGAUUUGAUUGUUGGUCAGAGGACACCAAAUAAGAGAUGGGAUGGUGUUGUGGGAGGGAGGGCUGGCUCUGGACAUCAGAGCUGUGAGUUCCAACAUAGAAUGGGCCGCUGUGCUGCUGUGCAAAUUUGCAAAAACUACUUAAUCCCCAUGAGCCUGUUUCCUUGUUCGAAAAUGAUGUAAAUUAUGGCAUCUACUUAAAGAAUUGUUGUCUGAGGAUUAUAUAAGUAAAGCACAUAGUAAUAUUGUUAGAUUUUAUCACUGUUGUUAUUAUUACUUGUCACUCAAAGCAUUCAGCUUUGCUGUCCUCAAUUCUCAGCACUUGCAUUAAUGUCCAAUUUCAAGUGCUGGGUAGAAUUGAAGCCUUUGUACCUGCCUCCAGAGAGGGCUAUUUAUUUUUCAUCAGUGCCUGCCAGGAACACACAACAUCACCAUUUGCCUAUCCAAAGGUACCUGAUUCUUCAGUGUUUUAUGUUACUAAAAAAGGGUCUACUUUGAAAACAGUGAGGCCUUUAGGAGAAAUUAGGUCUCGCCCUGAACUCAACUCUUUUAGAAAUUUCAAUUUACUCUGCUCUCCUCUCUGCCCUGCUUAUCUAGGAGAAGAGGCACAUUUUGGCUUUUGACUCAAUAAUGGGACUCAUAUUAAUAGGAAAGAAAGUUCAGAAGCAGAGAGAAAACUCUGGUGGAACAGAAGAAAAGCUAAAUGGAUUUUUCAAAAAUGUCCUGCAAACUCCUUUGAAUUGAUGAAGGCACAGUUGAGAAUGCCUCCCAACAUGUAGGCUUGAGGGACUGUUUUGCUUUAUAAAGCCUCAGAGAAGUUCCUCUGGCAGAAUUACCCCAAGUUGAGUAGAAAUGGAUCAAGGAAUGAACAAAAGGCUUUAACUAAGCAGUGAGGGCAGAUAAAAGCCCAGGUCCUCGAUUUGGAGUUUCUGCAGGGUCAGGCCUCUCCCUGGUUCUAUUGCUGGUUCCACGGUUGAAACCAGAGGAGAUAGCUGGAGAGUUAUGUUGUCCCGGACCAGUCACUUAUGCAAGAGGAUCACGAUUGAGAAGAGGCUCAGUAGCAUUUGAGGAAAACAAGUCAGAAGUGGAUGUCUUAGGUGGGAAAGUACUGAGAAGCAUUAACGCUGAGAGGGACAGUAGGUUAUAAAUUAGAAUGAGGCUCUAAACUAGAAAGUGCUCUUCUCUGGGAUUGACUAGCCUGUAAAACAGUCUGGGGGUGGGUGGUGAGCAGUGAGGCUUUCUGAUAGCUGGAGUUGUCUGAGAAAUAUGGACUGUCCCUCAGGGGACCACAGCCUGCUCAAAAGGUUUGUCAUGAUCCAAAUGCUCCUCAGUUCUUAGAAGGACAGUGGUGCCCAAAGGCUAGACCACCAUUCUGAAUCUUUCCUUGAGGCCACUAACCCAUUAACAAAGAAUUGUUCUGUCAUUGGUCAAGAUAAGGCAGUGGUUCCUAGCUGCUGGUCCUGUCCUAACACUGGUGGAGAGCCAAUAAAAAAAUAAGUCAUCUUACAUUUCCAGGUUGUGCCUUUUCCUUCAGGCUCCACCCUUGUCAUGGGGCAACUGUAGGCAGCAAUUGGCUCCUAAUGUGACAUGCUGGGUUUAGGGAACCAAUUCUCCAUUCCUCCGUGAGUGUUACAGAAUUCAUAGAAACCCAAGGAAGAUGCCUGUCCCCCUGUACAUUUUAUCCAGGGUCAUGAUCUUCAAAUAUAUCCUAUCUGCUCAGUCCUGUCUCCCUUCUUAACAUACACUGGUAAAAGGUUUGGACUCUGGUUCCCUCUAGCCUACCUCCUCACCUCAGCUCUCCCUUUCUACCUCAGACUUCAGAGUCCACUCCUAGCCCCUGUUUCUCAAUUUCCUAUCUAAUCCUGCUACCGAAAAUCCAUAUACAGGUCUUCCUCAUGAAGGUAAAUGACUGACAUCAUUUAAAAGCAUGGCCUUUUCUUGACGAUAUUUGCAGUUGAGCAGAGUGACAGUGUCACUAACAGACCAAUUUUUUUAUUCUUUUCUGUACCUCCUACUUCAUGGUUUCUGUUUACCACUUUGUUUCUACAAACACACCUCCAUCCUCUACUUCCACCAAAACUGAUUGCCAUCUUCUUCACUUAUUAAUUAAUCACCUGAACCAUUUUUUUUUGUCCUUGCUUUUCAUCUCUUCUUUGGUUUCAACAACUGUCUGAUAUCCCAGUGUUGGAACUGUUUCCUUUUCCCCAGUCCCUAAAAUCUUCCCAUAGGUAUCACAAUAUCCAGAUCUUCGCUGUCACUAGACAAACCUAAACACUUGAACCUAGGUUAGGAUUUUCCAGCCACAAUCUAUAUACCUUGCCCUUCUUCCCCACUUCCAUACCCAACUGAACUUUCCUCUGCCUUUAUUGGGCUUCUCAGUAGCUUCCACUCUUCAAAUAAAAUUGAAUCAACUUUGAGUUUGCCUGAAUCCUGCAUUGCCUGAGUUCCAUCACCAUUCAUGUCAAAGAUUCUCAUAUCAAUAUCCAAGACUCUUAUGUACCCUUAUCUUCCUCUGAGUCUGCCAUGCCAUCUUCUUCCUUAAAUAGUACCAUCCUUAUGAAGCUGACAAAACAAGGUCAGUGAACCAAGCAGGUCUGCAUCUCAAGGAAAGCUUGGAUUUGGGGAAGCUAUGGGUCUUUUGAGAAAUUGGGUGGCAUGAUCCCACCUGUCUAGUGUUUUGUCUUUUAAUCUUUCCAAUCCAAGACACCUCUAUCACUUGUGGAGACUCUAAGCAGGGAUUAACUGUGACUGCCACCUGGAAAGGUUGAGAGAUUUAAGUGCCCCAACUCACAAAGAGGCAGCUCAAGUGAAAUAAACAUUGUGACAUUUAAGAAGCAAAAAGAGCAUUUACUUUGGGCUGGAUGUGACAUUGCAUAUCACCAUAAUGGACUGCUCUGUGCCAACUGCAAAGUCCCAGGUGAUAAGUUAUAGCCAGUGACAGAGCAGGCCUUGAGUCCACAGACCUAUUCCUUUGGAGCCUGGUACCUGAGUUUCUUGCACUUUAUAUGUAAUUCCUUCCUCUUGUAUUUCAUGUAAUGUAUUCUUCACAGUGAGGCCAACAGGACAGUGAGUCUGCUAUGGAGGUGUCUUCAGCUCUUUUGGAAACCCCAGUGAGCUUCUAGCUUCAGGGCAUGACUUUCCUUGUGGAUUCUCAUGCCAUAGUCUUCUGGGAAAUUCAGAAUGAUCUCCCUAUUCUAAGAUGGUCAGUAUUCACCUAAAUUCAACUUGAUAUUUAGUCCUCAUUUAUGAAGCAUGUGCUAAAUUUAAAGCACUGUGCUCAGUUAUUUGGAUAUAUAGAGGAAAAAAAGACAUGGAUGCUGUCAUCAAGAAAUAAUUUAACCUAGUGAACUAGAGAUUUAUGUGCACAUACCUAUAAACAGUGAAAAGUGUAUUGAGGAAAGCUUCUUAGAGGAGCUGGCAUUUGAGCUGUGCCUUGAAGAACACAUAUUUCUAGAUGAGCAGAGAUGAGGAGGGAGCAGAGAAAGGAGAGGGAUUGGAGGAGGAGGUAACAGAGUGAGAAAAGAGCAAUGGGUAGGACUAUGAGGGCAAGACUUUGUGGAGUAUAUAUGUUUGAGGUUUGGGGGGAGAGUGAGGUGAGGCAUCAAAGGGGUUGAAUAGGCCUCAAAUUUAAUGUUCACUCAAUACAUACCAAGAGUUGUGCAAAGCACAGGUUAGCCUCUGAGAAAGGAAGAAGGAUACAACAGCUAUCCCUGCAUGGCCAGGAAGUCAAAGCCACGCAAAUCCAGGGGCUGCUUUCAGAGCUAUAAGUGUACCCAGACCUGUCCAUGGCCAUGGGUUUUUCAUUGCUUGGGUUCUCUGUUACCAUCUCUCUUUCUCUUGGCAUUCUGAAUGCUCACCCUCAGUCUUUUCUUCAUUUGUUGAACCCUGAUGAUGUGGACCAUCUGAUCCUUCCUAGUCCCCAAUUCUUGCAUAGGUUGUUGACUCUGAUCAACUUUACUGCAUCUAGUUCUCUGCCAUGUGAGUGGUGACCUAAUCCUUCUUUGCUCUGGCAGCCCUGAGUGAAGUUUGUCUUCAUAUAAAUACAGACAUAUUUUGCCUUGGUAAUUCUUGCUUCUGCUGCAUGUUUUUCCCUCCAGGCACUUACUUUUUUGUCAUGUAGGCACCCAGUUUCAAUGCCUGGGGUGGCUUUCAGUGUUAUGGAUACACCAGGAAAAAAAAACAACACAAGAACUGUCACAAUCAAGAGUUCCGACUUCAAUGAGUAAUGAAGUUGCAUGAAUUCCAACUCGUGGUUCCAAAGGAUUUCCAUAAGCCUCUUGAUUUCCAAAUGAGAAAAUCAUGAUAAGCAGUUAAUUAGCUCUUUAAGCAAAGGCAAGCCGUCUCAGACACUGCUGUGCACUCCACACUCUUGGGAGAGGGAGGCCAGUACCACAUCCUGACAAACAUGCAGUGCAAGCAUGAAAAUGGAGUUCAUAUAAAUUCAAGUAAUGUCCUUUGACUUUUCAUUAAGCCAGGCAUGUCCCAGUUACCCCUUGGGGACUUUCUUAACGUUAUCAUGGCAACAUACAAUUAAGUCAGAUUACAUUUUUUUAUAUGCAGGGAGAGGUGCUAAGAUACCAUUCUAAAUUAUUCAGCAGUUCACUUUUCACAAAACAACCCCAGAUAUAACUUUAAGAUGUGCAAUAUUAAAAAAUACCAGAUAAUUUGAUAUUGCUAUAUCAUGUAAAGAAGACUUUUUUCCUUUCCCCAGGGAGAACAAAAGACUUAAUCGAACUCCACAAGCAUAGCUGUGCUUAUCACAGCUUACCGUAUUACUCUGAUUUAUGUGGCAGAUUGUGAACUCCUUGAGAAUUAACAGAAGUUUCUUCCUUAGGGCCAGAAUAUUCUUAUUUCAGCAUUGUAAAGCCAGGGACAGCUUUGAAAAGGAGCUAAAUCAUUUUUCUCUUUCUCCCCCUGACACCCCACACCUCCUAUGUGUGGUGUAUGUAGAUUUGAUCCUUAGUUAUCAUGUCACGGUUCCUAAGGAGUCUUAAGGAGACUGAUUAUAUAAAGGCACCUUUAGAAGGGCAUCAUCUUGGUGAGCCUUAAAGGCUCCUCUUAGUCUUCAGAACAAGACCCCUGUAUCAAAGGAGGAAGAAUGAAUUGGGGUGCUGAGUUAUACAGCUAGAGGCCAACCCAAGUGGGAUAGGACUUAGUGUGGGGAAACACUCUUUUAUGGGUCACUGGUGCUCCUAUGCAUCUUGCUAAAUAUGCCAAGAUUGGAAGGUCCUGACCACUCUUUAUCUGGACAAUUUUUCAAGGUUUGUUUGUAGCAAAUAACUUGAGGGAUGAGGUAACAUCUCCUCCAAGAUAGAGAGCAGGUCUCUUUACACACUGCUAUAGAGCGAUGGCUUCCUUAGGUUCAGUAUUCCUUACUUGUAAUGCAACCUCCUUCCUGCGCAUCCAUCUAGGUUCACCUGCACUGCCCCUCAGGGAACUGGGGCCAGUGACCCUGCUGAGGCUUGGCUAAUGCUUUUGAGUAACAAAGGCUUUUAUCUCUGACUCAAGAAAGCAUCCAUGAAAUUCUGGCAAGUUAACUUGUUAGCUUGCAAGUAGGGUAACAUAGCAGACCCUUUAUAGACCUUGAUGGUUAAUAUGUAAUGCUUGUGGUUGCUUUCUCCUUUCCCUGUCUGAUCUGAAGAUAUAGUUCUUCUUGUUUGAGAUACCCUUUUCUACUGCACAGAGUCCUCAUAUUUAAGCCAAAAUCUGAGUAGAAGCCUUCUUUCUUAAGAUCUCAAGAAGCGUAGACUGUCAUGACUUCUAAGAGGUAAGAUACCAUGCAUAAAUCCCUAUUGUGCCAAGCCUCUCUAUAACUGAUGUACUUGAUAAGUCUUGACUUAUUAACCCUUUGUGGGCAAGAUAGGCAGAAUCUUUGAUGUGUGGUAAGUGGUUGCUGCCUGGGUCUUACAUGUUUAAUUUUAUGUCAUCAUACGUCAGGGAGAAGUUAAGGUUUAUUACUUAAAUGCCCAUUUCUAGUCCAUGUCCCAAAAUUCAGAUUCAGGGUACACUGGAAGCUGUGUCUUUGGAAGUUGCUUUGAUGGUGGGGCCCCAGACACUAAUUUGUAGGUCAUUGCUGUUGUUUCACAGGUGCCUGUGGAGGCACAAAGGGGUAAGCUGAUGGGCAAUUGCAGCUCUCCCUUCUAGUUCUGAGACUUCUCUCCUGUCUAGCAGGCAACAGUCAUGUUGUGUUUGUUUGGAGAAAAAACAUGGUUCCUUUCCACCUGGGCAUACCCUUCUCAAGCUGAAAUGGCUGCUCUUAUUGCUGUGUCCUACUUCUGAGGGGCCAGCCUGGCCAAGGAGUAAAUGACAAAGAAAACCACCAGCAUCUCAACGACCACCACUCAAGCAACAGUUCUUCUUAUGGUAAUUGUCUUCUAUGUUCUGGGUUCCUUAAAUCUAUGAUCUUUGAAAUUCAUAGCAACCACAAGAAGGGAUAUUAUACUACUCACUUUACACCCAAGGAAACAGGAACUAACUCAACAUGAUCACAUAGCUUCUGAGCACCAAGCUAGGAUUAUAACCCAGAGCCAUCUGAGUUCAAAACCUUUCCAUCUUUUGCUGGUGCCUCUCUAAUCCUACUUUCUUUGUAAAGGCUCAGCAAGAUGAGAUGUGGUCUGUGAAAUUCAUAAAGACCAUCAUACCAUAGUUCAAACACCUCUGAAGAAUCCCUAUCACUUACAGAAUGAAGUCCAAUUGUUCUGCCUUUCAGUCACUUCCUCUUCCCAGUUACAUUCCCUGCUAUUCACCCCCAAACAGACCUUAAACCUUAGCCAAAUGUAAAUAUUCAUAAUUCCCUGUAGUGUCAUCAAUUUUUCUCACUCUAUGCUUUUGAUCAGGCAGCCCUAGCUUCAAACAGCCCACUGUUUUCUCUAACAACUACCUAAAAUCCUCCCCAUCUUUAAAGAUCUGAAAUCAGAUAUCACCUCCAUGAAGCCAUUCCUGAUUCCCAAAACUUAAUGUGAACUUUCCCUCUUUUUGACAUGGCAAUUCUAUUUCGAUCCUUUAAAGCCCUGAUUGCACAUUGCCGUAGUACACCCAUCUGCUUAUAGAAGAGCAAGUUGUCCCAGAAGCCCAGAUCUUUCUUGUGCUUUGGAUCCAUAUAUCCUGCUGCCUACUAAAUAUUUCCCCUUGGGAAUUCCAUAGGUGUCUCAACCUCAGUGCAGCUGGAACUGAACUCCUAAUGUCGUUCACAAACUUGUGCCUCCCCCUAUCUCCGUAAAUGACCCUCCUUCACCCAUUUGCUCAAGCCAGAAAUAUGGGUAUCAUCACUGACCCUUUUUUCUCUAUCAUUUGUCGCAUCCAGUCAAUCAUUUAAUCCUAUUGCAUCUAUUGCCUAAAUAUGUCUCAAAUCUAAUAUAUUAUGUCCAUUUCCACUGUAAUUUCCCAAGUCCAGGUGACCAUCAUUUGCCAACCAGAUUACCAUAGCAGCUGUCCUUCUAAUUAACCUCCAAACUUUCAGGUUUCCUUCAUCCAAACUGACUCUCACUGCUUGAGUCUGAGGGAGGCUUUAAAAAUGCAAAUCUGACAUGUUACUCUCCUGCUCAGAAGACUCUCCUGCUCAGAAAUUGCCCUUAGGAUAAAAUCUAAACAAAUGGUUUAUGUGCCUUUUCUUUGGGUGCCUCUUUUAUACCUCUCUAGCCAUAUCUUUCACAGUUUCUCCCUCUUGCCCUUUAUGCUUUGGCCGUUCUACACCCAAUUCGGUUCCUCAGAUAAGCACUGUUCCUUCCCACAUAUUGUUUUCUUUACCUCUAAGGAUGUGCUCCUUCUGCCCCUUCCCCAGUGCAUACGUUUUUGCCUGGCUCCUCCUCUGCUCUAUCCCAGGUUAGAUAUAACUUCUGAGAAGCUUUCUCUGACCUUAUAAAGACUGAAUUUGGUGUUCUCCAAUGUCCUCUAUAACUCUCUCUACUCCCUAAUCACAGCAAAGUGUUAGAAUUGCUGCUUUCAUGGCCUAUCUCCCUCACUAUACUGAUUAGAACAUAUCCAUUAAAACUUGGAUAUCCAUGGAAUUCUUUCCUGCAAAAUAUUUGGGGCUCCAUAGAAUUAUGAACCUCUAUGGAGCCUGGCGCAUAGGAGGUGUACUAAAUACUUGUCUUUUGUUUAUUUGAGAAGAAAACAGGUAUUUCCAAUGUUAAGUGUUUGCAACUAAUCACAUAGAUUAUUAGAGAUAUUCUUGAGUCUUUUGAUUUCCAUGUUUUCUUUUUUUUUUGGUUGUUAAAUUAAUACUGUCUUGGUGGCAAGCAAGGGUUAAUAGCUAUUUAAGGACCCAGGGAAAGUACGAAAGAACAUGUCUCUGUUCACAAUGACAUUAAUUUAUAAGGAAGGGUUGGAGGAGCAAGCCAAUCAAAUACUGGAUGCCAAAUUACCAUAUAUCACACAAUUUACGAGGCAGUCAAAAGUGUUAUUAAAUUAGAGACCAGAACAACCUUCUUAAUUCAUCCUUAUGACAGUGAUUGUAAUGACUCUAAGAACCUGGUUUAACCUGAGUUCAUUUUAUGAAAGGUCUUUCAUUUUUAAACAUUACAUUUAUUGAAUUUUAAAGAAAGCUUGCCUUAAAAUGCAUACAGUUAAAACAUAAUAAAAAUGCCUCAAUAAUCAAUCUACAUUCACUACCUGAGGGAUACAGUGGAUUCCGUUUUUCAAAAAUCUGGUGUUGAUGUAUUUUUUUCUUUUUCUCUGUAAAACAGAAUCAUUAAUCUUCAGAUUUCACCAAAGUAGUCCUGCUAUUUUUUUUUUUUUUUCCUGUUUUAUGCUCUUAUGCCCCGGCAUCUUUCAGUAGAUUCUAGUUUUUCUAUUCUGAUAACUCUGGCCAAUAGUGGGCCCCUCCUUAAUCCUUCUGCUUUGCAGGUGAAGCCAAUGCUAUACAAUCCAAGAAGAGCCUUGGUCAGGGAUGAGGGCUUACUAUUAUCAGUGUUUUGGGUCUCACUGAUCCCAGGCCUUAUGGACUCAUGUGAAAAUCACAAGUACAGCAUCACUUUUACCUCCAUUGUUGGCUCCUAAGGGUCUGGGACACUGUUGGAUGAAGUAAACUUGCGUGGCUCCCUACUCCAACCUCCAGCCCCCAGCUCUAAGCACGAAGUGGUUGCUCAAUAACUCUUAUGGCAUGAGUAAGGAAAUACUUUUAUUUUUUUAUUUCUUGACUUUUAUGAUCCACUAGUUUAUGCUCUCAAUUCAAGAUGGACACAGAUAAGAACAACCUAUGGCACAUUCUUUUCAUUGGGGCUGUCCUGCCCAGGGCGUUGUCAUAUUUGGGUAGAGUCAGUAGGGCAGGAUGCAGCUCUGCCAAAGCUCAUUAAAUGGCAGUGAGAACAGCAUCUUGGUGUGCUGUGUGCCCUGGCCUUAGUUCUCAGAGCAGUUGGCUCUCUUAGUGGCAUCCAGUCAACCAAUGGUGGCAGAGUUUCUUCCACUGUGAUGGGGUAGCUUUUUGUCUUCUGCAAAAGCUGGACACCCUGGAGAACAAAGUAGCUUCCAGGAUCUCGGAUGAGCCUCUCUCCUAAAAGGGCACAUUUCUAAUGGCCCUCAAGUUGGGCCAUGGGUCCUGAGGGGACCUGGUACCAACUAGGUUAGAUUGUGGCCAUGUGAUUGAUAAGCGUUAAAUAAACAUGGAGAAACCAAGCAUAUGCCCAGUGCAUAAGAAACACCUAAUAAUUGUCACUACCCUUUCCUACUGUUCUUUCACCCACUUCUGGAUCCAUGCCACUUUGUUCCCUUGGAGAUGUCACUUGGCUUUUGGUUGGGGGGAUGGGGAAAGCAGGGAACCAAGAAAGAGUCCAAAAUUGUGAUGUGUGAGCUGACCCUUGAAGACUGAAUAAGAAUUAUUCAUACAAACAAGAUUAUAAAGAUGUUUUAGGUAGAAGCAGCUACUUAAACCAAGACAAAGAGAUGAGAAAUAACAAGAAGCG